Molecule: transfer RNA, 67 nt
Filed under: Teredorus guangxiensis
Lineage: Eukaryota; Metazoa; Arthropoda; Insecta; Orthoptera; Tetrigidae
Description: tRNA-Thr
Rfam family: tRNA
About the family: Transfer RNA (tRNA) molecules are approximately 80 nucleotides in length.
Source: RNAcentral
GUUUUAAUAGUUUAAAUAUAAAAAACAUUGGUCUUGUAAACCAAAAAUGAAAAUAAGUCUUAAAACU